This 301-nucleotide ribosomal RNA is filed under the name Ciocalypta confossa. Its description in RNAcentral is "LSU rRNA". It matches the Rfam family "Eukaryotic large subunit ribosomal RNA", at positions 666 to 947 of the family's 3401-position model. The record is from RNAcentral. Lineage: Eukaryota; Metazoa; Porifera; Demospongiae; Suberitida; Halichondriidae.
CCAAGGAGUGCAACAUGCGUGCGAGUCUUUGGGUGGCAAACCCAGCGGCACAAUGAAAGUGAAGGCAGGCGUUGGUCUGCUCAGGCGAGAGUCCUCUUGUGGGGACACAUCGUCAACCGAUCCCAGGUCACGCUGUGGCGGGAUUUGAGUGAGAGCGUGCCUGUUGCGACCCGAAAGAUGGUGAACUAUGCCUGAAUAGGGUGAAGCCAGAGGAAACUCUGGUGGAAGCUCGUAGCGAUUCUGACGUGCAAAUCGUCGUCAAAUUUGGGUAUAGGGGCGAAAGACUAAUCGAACCAUCUAG